RNAcentral lists this transfer RNA (82 nucleotides) under Selaginella tamariscina. Its description in RNAcentral is "tRNA-Tyr". It matches the Rfam family "tRNA". Rfam says of the family: Transfer RNA (tRNA) molecules are approximately 80 nucleotides in length. Their secondary structure includes four short double-helical elements and three loops (D, anti-codon, and T loops). Lineage: Eukaryota; Viridiplantae; Streptophyta; Lycopodiopsida; Selaginellales; Selaginellaceae. The record is from RNAcentral.
GGGUCGGUGCUCGAGUGGUUAAUGGGGACGGAUUGUAAAUCCGCUGGCAAUGCCUACGCUGGUUCGAAUCCAGCCCGGCCCA